GAUGAAGAACGCAGCGAAAUGCGAUAAGUAAUGUGAAUUGCAGAAUUCAGUGAAUCAUCGAAUCUUUGAACGCACAUUGCGCCCCUUGGUAUUCCGAGGGGCAUGCCUGUUCGAGCGUCAUUACACCACUCAAGCUAUGCUUGGUAUUGGGCGUCGUCCUUAGUUGGGUGCGCCUUAAAGACCUCGGCGAGGCCACUCCGGCUUUAGGCGUAGUAGUAUUUAUUCGAACGUCUGUCAAAGGAGAGGAACUCUGCCGACUGAAACCUUUAUUUUUCUAGGUUGACCUCGGAUCAGGUAGGGAUACCCGCUGAACUUAAGCAUAUCAAUAAGCGGAGGA
This 337-nucleotide unclassified non-coding RNA is filed under the name soil metagenome. RNAcentral describes it as "partial contains 5.8S ribosomal RNA, internal transcribed spacer 2, and large subunit ribosomal RNA". The stretch from base 1 to 120 matches the Rfam family "5.8S ribosomal RNA", at positions 35 to 154 of the family's 154-position model. The record is from RNAcentral.